CGACUCUUUCAACCGCUCAGACAUCCAUCCCCUUCUGUUACCUACUUUGACUCAUAUCUUCGGUAUACCUCAAUACAAGACAAGCACAGGAAAGGAUAUUCAACCAAAACCGGGCUAUCGCCCUAUCUAAGCAGGUUGACCCUCUCCUCUACGGAAGUCCUUUUUUCAUCUAUUUCUUUCAGUUCCUGUGUCUAUCGCUAUCGCCCUAUUAUCUCUCAAUUGCCUAUCCUUUAUAGAUGAGGGGGAGGCCCCAUCACUCUGUCUCGAAGGCAGGUUAAGUCAAGUGUAAAAUAAGGGUAGUGCAUUAAGAAGCUGCAACUAUCGCAUCAGCUAGAGCGGCAUUAGGCAUUGGAAAGGUGCUUAAUUCCGAUAGCGAUUUUAGGCUUUCAGAGCGGGAGAGGAAAAGAAAGAUGAGACCGGCUACAGGAGUUGCAGAGGCUCUCGAACUUUCUGUGAUCACUAUACGGUGAUUGUGAAAUUGGGAUCUUGAGGGUUUACAACUCCUUUUUUCUCUCUUCAAGUGGAAGGCAGGGAAGAUCAAAUGGAAUAGAACACUCUUCAUACUAUUUAUUCCAUUAUGUGCUUCCCUCUUCAAGAGCUAAGCUACUAGACUCAAAUCGUUUAUAGCAUCUCGUAUGGGACAUAUAUAGUCUUUACCCGAAUAGAGUACUUCAUUCUGACUUUCUCAUAGCGGGCAAUCCGUGCGAAAGGGCACUCUCCUCUGCUAUUUGUACCAGAAGACGAAAGCAAGGAAUCCUAGACUUCCGAGACGAUAGGAGCGAGGCUGAGCGUUAUAAGGCGGCUAAGGAAAUCAGUUAAUCUCUUUCUGAAAUAGAUCUCCCUUCGUCUGGCUUAGCUCAUGGAAUAGUAGCUCUUCCGCUAUACUCUAGAGAGAAAGAAAAGCCCUGUUUUGCCCGCCUUAUUAGAUUCAUUUCUGAGACGACACCGAUUGCUUACGCUUUCUCGACCCGGGUGCUGGGUUGGGGCCUUCUGAUCCAGAUACCUUAGAUCUGGCUAUGCUUGCUUGCUGACCUGUGCUACCUAUUGUAUUCUUGACACAUUAGGGUAGGAAUAAGUUUAAGCUGAGCUGCCUAUCUCGCUGUGAGCGCUACCUAAGCACUGUCGAAGGCAUUCAGAGAAGAGUGGAAUAGUCCUAGAGUUGAGAGGGCUUCUCACUAACACUUUUGACUCACUGCCAAAAGGGAUUGAUUCCCGGGAAGGUAAAUGCUACCUUGACAGAAGACUCUACUAAACUUCCAUAACCUUGAAUGAAAAAAGAGAGAUUUUGAUAUAUCAUUAAGGGAAUAACUCUUCCUUUACUGAUUGGAAUGGUCUUAUUGAAAUGAUAUUCCUUUUAUUGCUUGCACCUACUAGAAGGAGGAGAGAUCCUUAAUUACUGAUUAAGAGAAAGCAAGGACGCUAUGAGUGCUCGCUAAUGUCAUCCCUUUGAUUGCUUACUUCGCUAUCCAAGCUGGAUGUUGUGAGAGUUUCCAGAUGAGCAGGAAGGGCUGGAGGACGUAUUACCGGAGGGGAGGACUGAAUAGAAAGAACGAAAGCGACGUACGUACUGGAUUGACUAGCGUGUGCCAACUAUUCUACGUCCCUAUUUCUUGCUUUUUCACAUCCCCUGAUUAGUGCACUCUUUCCCCCAAUUCACUGAUAGAGAAGAAAGAGAUAAGCAAUGACCGGACUAGACCAAUGAAAACGGACCAAGGUUUUUAUUCGUUAGCCAAGCGCGCCUAUUACAGCGCCUCUAUUACUGAAGCGAAAGCGAUGUGCCCUAUUAACCAGCCGAAGAGUAUCCUUAUAAAAGAAUGAAUGGGAAGCAGGCCCGGUCUAUAUUGCUAGAGUUAUGUUUACUGCACCCCCCAUGUACUCCUCUCUCUAUUCUGAUAUUUGAAUUCCGUCUCUAAGCUUCCCCCUUAGUGCCUUAUUAGACUUAUUUCUUCUUGACUAUGGUUGAAUGGAAGUUUCAUUUCCUAAGUCUCAAAUCCUUUUUUCAUUUUAUUGAGUCCCCAUAGUGCAUUCCCCUACAUAGUCUUUAGAGUAAUUUCUCACUAAGAAGGAUUGCAAUAUAAAAAAGAGAAUUCCAGAUUGAAGAUCUCUUGACCCAUAUACGAUCCAGUUCUACAUCUUAGCGCUGAACUAAUGAAUAGAGAUUGAGCUUCACUUCGCGAGUCGGGAAUGGCAUCAUUUAUGAAAAAGUUCUAGCNNNNNNNNNNNNNNNNNNNNNNNNNNNNNNNNNNNNNNNNNNNNNNNNNNNNNNNNNNNNNNNNNNNNNNNNNNNNNNNNNNNNNNNNNNNNNNNNNNNNNNNNNNNNNNNNNNNNNNNNNNNNNNNNNAUAUAUAUAUAUAUAUAAAUUAGAUUUCUCGAUGCUUUGAAUAGCGUAGUUUCGUACCCAGCAAGCAAGGGAUGGGACUUUCUUUCUGAUCGUAGACCACUCUUACUUGUUUGCUAAAGAGGUGAAUUUCGGGCCGUAGUAAUAGUACGUACCUCAGCGCCUAGAAGAAAGCUUUCACUAGCUUUUUUGACUAUAAAGAAAAAUUCCCAUUGAGAGCGAACUAAAGGAAUGGACGGGAUCAUGAUGCGAUCGACCUUUACCUUAGCAGUAAUAGAGAGAGCGUAGCUGUAGACUGGGGUAGGGGCCAAGACGGAUUCUAUAUAAUAAUGAAUGGAAUCUCUUUGAUUGAUUUCUUGCGACAGCUUAUCGAUGCUCGUUAGCGGUGAAGUCCCUCAAACCAGAAGUUUCAAAAGCUUUUGACUGGGCCUACGAGAGAAAUGAACUUUACAUACUGAUAUCGCAUACCGAAGGGAAGGCCUAAUUGCACCACUCCUCCUUACCUUCCGCCAGCCGUCCCCCUCCUAGCCUUGAACAGAAGCUCAAGUGCACGAAGACCCUCUGACUUAAGCAGGUGCUAUCACUUAAGAGAAUCUCCGGGUCCUUCUUAAAGACUACCACCUUCUCUUCGGGCAUUGGAAGAUGAAUCAACUCCAUAUAAGCUGGAUGAGCCGAGCCUUCUUUUUGGAUUGGUCAAGACCUAGACCUAAUGGUCAGGGCGUACGUAGCCCACGUCCCUUCCACCCAAAAGGAGUUGCUGGAAAGCCUGGAACCGAACCUGACCUCCUUAUGUAUGUUGCCCAUCGUUGGUUGACGCGAUGGUGGAAUUCCCCCUAUCUCGGGCGGGUUGCCCAGGGGAGUCAUAAAGGAAUGGACAUCCGGAACCAUGUUACGUGCCCACGAAGUUUGGAGUGGAUGCCCGACCUCCUCUACCCCCGAAUCCCUUGACNNNNNNNNNNNNNNNNNNNNNNNNNNNNNNNNNNNNNNNNNNNNNNNNNNNNNNNNNNNNNNNNNNNNNNNNNNNNNNNNNNNNNNNNNNNNNNNNNNNNAUAAAUAGCUAUAUGCGCUUAACACACAUUCUUUGGACUCACCCCCCAUAUAAGGCCCUCUAAACACCAUGUGUUAAGCAUACGACGACAGAGACCUUUACCUUAGCAGUAAUAGAGAUAGCGUAGCUGUAGACAGGGGCAGGGCCCGAGACGGAUUCUAUAUAAUAAUGAAUGGAAUCGCUUUGAUUGAUUGCUUGCGACAGCUUAUCGAUGCUCGUUAGCGGUGAAGUCCCUCAAACCAGAAGUUUCAAAAGCUUUUGACUGGGCCUACGAGAGAAAUGAACUUUACAUACUGAUAUCGCAUACCGAAGGGAAGGCCUAAUUGCACCACUCCUCCUUACCUUCCGCCAGCCGUCCCCCUCCUAGCCUUGAACAGAAGCUCAAGUGCACGAAGACCCUCUGACUUAAGCAGGUGCUAUCACUUAAGAGAAUCUCCAGGUCCUUCUUAAAGACUACCACCUUCUCUUCGGGCAUUGGAAGAUUCAUCAACUCCAUAUAAGCUGGAUGAGCUGAGCCUUCUUUUUGGAUUGGUCAAGACCUAGGACCUAAUGGUCAGGGCGUACAUAGCCCACGUCCCUUCCACCCAAAAGGAGUUGCUGGAAAGCCUGGAACCGAACCUGACCUAUACAAGGAGAGCGGAAGAUAACAAAAGGGAGACAAAGUCCUAACUAAAUCAUAACACAAGCUACCAUUCCAUCUAUCAUAUCAGUCGAGUCGAUCCGAUUCGUUCUUAUCUAUAGAUAACGCAAGGGAUAACUUAUGACCUCGCGGAUGGAGAGGGAUUCGAACCCCCGGUAUUCCUAUCAAUACUUCGGUUUUCAAGACCGACUCUUUCAACCGCUCAGACAUCCAUCCCCUUCUGUUACCUACUUUGACUCAUAUCUUCGGUAUACCUCAAUACAAGACAAGCACAGGAAAGGAUAUUCAACCAAAACCGGGCUAUCGCCCUAUCUAAGCAGGUUGACCCUCUCCUCUACGGAAGUCCUUUUUUCAUCUAUUUCUUUCAGUUCCUGUGUCUAUCGCUAUCGCCCUAUUAUCUCUCAAUUGCCUAUCCUUUAUAGAUGAGGGGGAGGCCCCAUCACUCUGUCUCGAAGGCAGGUUAAGUCAAGUGUAAAAUAAGGGUAGUGCAUUAAGAAGCUGCAACUAUCGCAUCAGCUAGAGCGGCAUUAGGCAUUGGAAAGGUGCUUAAUUCCGAUAGCGAUUUUAGGCUUUCAGAGCGGGAGAGGAAAAGAAAGAUGAGACCGGCUACAGGAGUUGCAGAGGCUCUCGAACUUUCUGUGAUCACUAUACGGUGAUUGUGAAAUUGGGAUCUUGAGGGUUUACAACUCCUUUUUUCUCUCUUCAAGUGGAAGGCAGGGAAGAUCAAAUGGAAUAGAACACUCUUCAUACUAUUUAUUCCAUUAUGUGCUUCCCUCUUCAAGAGCUAAGCUACUAGACUCAAAUCGUUUAUAGCAUCUCGUAUGGGACAUAUAUAGUCUUUACCCGAAUAGAGUACUUCAUUCUGACUUUCUCAUAGCAGGCAAUCCGUGCGAAAGGGCUCUCUCAUCUGCUAUUUGUACCAGAAGACGAAAGCAAGGAAUCCUAGACUUCCGAGACGAUAGGAGCGAGGCUGAGCGUUAUAAGGCGGCUAAGGCAAUCAGUUAAUCUCUUUCUGAAAUAGAUCUCCCUUCGUCUGGCUUAGCUCAUGGAAUAGUAGCUCUUCCGCUAUACUCUGGAGUGAAAGAAAAGCCCAGUUUUGCCCGCCUUAGUAAGACCCUCUUUCUGAGCCUUCCCCUCCUCCUUUUGAGUCAUCUUGGAUGAGAAGACAGAGACCUACUUCAUCGACUUUCAAUGUCCGUGUGGAAUGCAACUUGCUCGCUGAAGUGGAGGCGCUUUCCGGUAGCAGGGUUUGAUUCUCUUUUUACGAUUACCAUUCAAAUCUUAAUUAAGUACCAGAUAGAAGAAACUAUUAGUAAGGAGUUCACGUAUGCUUUUUUCUCAUCGUGUAGCCGGAUAAUUCGAAUACCGCUACAUCCUUCCAUUCCUCAGGAAAGAUGAUCUACUAGUUCGCUGGCUCCAUGGAGGUGAAUUUGAUCGGGUGAAAGUGGUUAUCGGAAAUCGAUAUCCUUUAUUGGGAUUGAGGAAAGUGUUCUUUCUCUACGAAAUUCUAAGUGAGGUCAUAAUAGUCCUUUCUUUCGAAGUCAACUUUCAGCAUCGAAUGAGAACUUCUCUAAUUAGAUCAAUUUUGAAAAAGGAUUGAAACAUAGUUGAGGGGGAAACUCUUGCUUUCGAACGAACAGAGACAGAGACAAAGGCGAAGGCAGCAGUCUAGCUUUUUCCUUUUGUUUUCGUGUUUNNNNN
This 5727-nucleotide long non-coding RNA is filed under the name Panax ginseng (ginseng). RNAcentral describes it as "long non-coding RNA (PGIN_LNC001344)". Lineage: Eukaryota; Viridiplantae; Streptophyta; Magnoliopsida; Apiales; Araliaceae. The record is from RNAcentral.